UUGGGAGGAAAACCUGCCGGUCAAUACCCGGUAGCUUGACAUUACCUUUAGAAGAAGCACCGGCUAACUCCGUGCCAGCAGCCGCGGUAAUACGGAGGGUGCGAGCGUUAAUCGGAAUUACUGGGCGUAAAGCGUGCGUAGGUGGUUCGUUAAGUCAGAUGUGAAAGCCCUGGGCUCAACCUGGGAACUGCAUUUGAAACUGGCGGACUAGAGUUUAGUAGAGGGGAGUGGAAUUUCAGGUGUAGCGGUGAAAUGCGUAGAUAUCUGAAGGAACACCAGUGGCGAAGGCGACUCCCUGGACUAAAGCUGACGCUGAGGUACGAAAGCGUGGGUAGCAAACAGGAUUAGAUACCCUGGUAGUCCACGCCGUAAACGAUGUCGACUAGCCGUUGGUCCUAUAUACAGGAUUAGUGGCGCAGCUAACGCAUUAAGUCGACCGCCUGGGGAGUACGGCCGCAAGGUUAAAACUCAAAGG
Molecule: ribosomal RNA, 475 nt
Filed under: uncultured bacterium
Lineage: Bacteria
Description: bacterial SSU rRNA
Rfam family: Bacterial small subunit ribosomal RNA
Source: RNAcentral